Molecule: ribosomal RNA, 409 nt
Filed under: uncultured bacterium
Lineage: Bacteria
Description: bacterial SSU rRNA
Rfam family: Bacterial small subunit ribosomal RNA
Source: RNAcentral
UCAAGAACCUUCCACAAUGGACGAAAGUCUGAUGGAGCGACGCCGCGUGAUUGAUGAAGUCCCUUUGGGACGUAAAGAUCUUUUAUGAGGGAUGAAGUUUAUUGACAGUACCUCAUGAAUAAGAGGCUCCUAAUCUCGUGCCAGCAGGAGCGGUAAUACGAGAGCCUCAAGCGUUAUCCGGAAUUAUUGGGCGUAAAGGGUGCGUAGACGGUUAUGUUAGUCUUUUGUGAAAACUCCUCGCUCAACGAGGAAUCCGCGAAGGAAACGGCAUGACUAGAGAAUAUGAGAGGUGUGCGGAACUCAAGGUGUAGGGGUGAAAUCCGUUGAUAUCUUGGGGAACACCAAAGGCGAAGGCAGCACACUGGCAUAUUUCUGACGUUCAAGCACGAAAGCGUGGGUCGCGAAUGGG